UUUUCUGUUUUCUGACUUGGAAGAGUCAACCUUCAGGUGAUAAAAUCAUGAUGUCACCAUCACAUCUCAAAACGAUGAAAUCGCACAGGGCUUUGUUGAUUUCUGUCAACUCCGACCACGACCAGUGUCGGUAUGUUUAGACGGUUCGGAUGCGCCUAAUAAACCAACCUAAUUUGCCUCGCGCGUUUAGUCAUCUCCUUCCUUCGUCUAUAACCUCACGCAGAGACAGAGUUCCCCCAAAACCCUAAACGCCCAAAGUAUUGAUCACAAAGCUACGGAGCUGAAAUUGCAAACGUUAUCCAUGGCUCGCUUCAAAAAUGUAAGCUUGAAAUUUUUAGGUUCUGUUUGGUUGUUGAGAAAACUGAAUCAAAG
Molecule: long non-coding RNA, 372 nt
Organism: Pyrus x bretschneideri (Chinese white pear)
Lineage: Eukaryota; Viridiplantae; Streptophyta; Magnoliopsida; Rosales; Rosaceae
Exons: 3
Source: RefSeq, a predicted model, not a curated record